This 489-nucleotide ribosomal RNA is filed under the name uncultured bacterium. RNAcentral describes it as "partial 16S ribosomal RNA". It matches the Rfam family "Bacterial small subunit ribosomal RNA", at positions 28 to 507 of the family's 1533-position model. The record is from RNAcentral.
GAUGAACGCUAGCGGCAGGCUUAAUACAUGCAAGUCGAGGGGCAGCAGGACUGUAGCAAUACAGUUGCUGGCGACCGGCAAACGCGUGCGGAACACGUACGCAACCUUCCCAAAACUGGGGGAGAGCCCGGGGAAACCCGGACGAAUACCUAGUAACCUUUUUAAGUGGUAUUACUUGAUAAGUAUAGCUCAGGCGGUUUUGGAUGGGCGUGCGCCUGAUUAGGUAGUUGGUGCGGGUAACGGCCCACCAAGCCUGCGAUCAGUAACUGGUGUGAGAGCAGGACCAGUCACACGGGGACUGGGACACGGGCCCGACUCCUACGGGAGGCAGCAGUAAGGAAUAUUGGUCAAUGGACGCAAGUCUGAACCAGCCAUGCCGCGUGAAGGAUGAAGGUCCUCUGGAUUGUAAACUUCUUUUAUGGGGGACGAAACCCGGAUAUUCUUAUCCGAUUGACGGUACCUUAGGAAUAAGCACCGGCUAACUCCGUG